GAUGAACGCUAGCGAUAGGCUUAACACAUGCAAGUCGAGGGGUAACGUGUUGGAAGCUUGCUUCCGAUGACGACGACCGGCGGAUGGGUGCGUAACGCGUAUGCAACUUGCCUCACAGUGGAGAAUAACCCGGAGAAAUCCGGACUAAUACUCCAUACACUCUUAAGUACGCCUGUACAUGAGAGGAAAGAUUUAUCGCUGUGAGAUAGGCAUGCGUCCUAUUAGGUAGUUGGUGAGGUAACGGCUCACCAAGCCGACGAUAGGUAGGGGUGCUGAGAGGCAGAUCCCCCACAUUGGGACUGAGACACGGCCCAAACUCCUACGGGAGGCAGCAGUGAGGAAUAUUGGUCAAUGGAGGAAACUCUGAACCAGCCGAGUCGCGUGAAGGAAGAAUGUCCUAAGGAUUGUAAACUUCUUUAGCGAGCGAGUAAGGACUUCCACGUGAUGGGAGUUUGAAAGUAGCUCGAGAAUAAGAAUCGGCUAACUCCGUG
This 491-nucleotide ribosomal RNA is filed under the name uncultured bacterium. Its description in RNAcentral is "partial 16S ribosomal RNA". It matches the Rfam family "Bacterial small subunit ribosomal RNA", at positions 28 to 507 of the family's 1533-position model. The record is from RNAcentral.